UGUACCCCUUUCUACACAGGUUGGGAUCAGUUGCAAUGCUGUGUGUGCCUGUAGUAUUGCACUUGUCCCGGCCUGUUGAGGUUGGUGGGGACAG
This is a microRNA precursor of Chrysemys picta bellii (western painted turtle), 94 nucleotides long. The record is from Ensembl. Lineage: Eukaryota; Metazoa; Chordata; Testudines; Emydidae.